Long non-coding RNA from Schistocerca gregaria, 424 nucleotides. RefSeq lists it as uncharacterized. NCBI's taxonomy places the organism in Eukaryota, Metazoa, Arthropoda, Insecta, Orthoptera, Acrididae. The record is from RefSeq and is a predicted model, not a curated record. The transcript has 2 exons.
AAUAUUCAUAUGCUUGAAGUAUUGUAAAGUAUAGUCCUAAUAACACUGUGAAGAAUAAUCCUUGUAGUGCUUGAGCACAUCAUAGUUUAAUGGAAUCUAAUCAUACUCAAGCACUACAAGGAUUAUUCUUCACAGUGUUAUUAGGACUAUACUUUACAAUACUUCAAGCAUAUGAAUAUUGAGAAGCACCUUUUACCAUUGCAGAUGCAGUUUAUGGAUCAACAUUCUUUGUUGCAACAGGAUUCCAUGGUUUACACGUAAUUAUUGGAACAAUCUUUUUAUCAACAUGUCUACUUCGACACUCAAUAAAUCAAUUUUCACCAAGACAUCACUCUGGAUUUGAAGCAGCAGCAUGAUACUGACACUUCGUAGACGUAGUAUGAUUAUUCUUAUAUAUCUCUAUUUAUUGAUGAGGUAGAUAAUU